This is a long non-coding RNA of Heterocephalus glaber (naked mole-rat), 3939 nucleotides long. Lineage: Eukaryota; Metazoa; Chordata; Mammalia; Rodentia; Bathyergidae. The record is from Ensembl.
CCUCCUCUUCCUCUUUCUUCUCCUCCUUCUUUUCUUCCUCCUCCUCUUUCCCCUCCCCCUCAGCCUUCGCCUCCUCCUCUACCAGCACCACUCCCUCUGGGGCACCAGGGUCCCUGCAGAUUCCCCGGGCCUGGCCGCCUGCCUCCACGCGGGCCCCGGGACCCGAGCCCGCUGCGCCGGAGCUGGUAGGACACACGGACAGACAGACGCGGAGAUUCCUCUCGCUCGCCGCUCUGCCACUGCUGCCCUCCGCGGCCCGCGUCGGUGGAGCCGAGAUCGCCCGGGGGUUCUGCGCGGCCUCCCGCUUUUUCUGUCUGAGAGGGUGCUCGCCUUGUUCCCUAAAACAAUUCCUCGUGGGCCACUGGGAUCCAGGCUCCUAGGACAAGGGAGAAGCUGAUGCGGGCUGGGUUGCAGUGCAAAUCCAGGACUCUCAACUAGAGACUGCAGAUCGCGUCUCCAGUUCCAGGCCGUGUCCGCAUUUUCGAGCUCGCCUUCAGUUUUGGGAUGAUUUUAGGGCCGAGUUCUCGGUCCCCAUUGGCUCGUGCUGUGGCAUAAUUAUGAUCACAUCCCCCAGGCUGCUGGCGCUGCUCUCUGUUUAUUGGUGGUUAAAGAUCUAUUAUCUAUUCAUCAGCCGCCUCUUUUUUCCUCUCCCCCUCCCUUUUGCCAAUUACAUUCUUAUAAAGUGAAGUACCAGCAGGUAUUUUGCAAUUAAUAAUAAAAAAUGCUGGCGUCUUUUAAAUCUAUUACAACCAGGCCUGGGUCAUUUAUUUUAAGGAGGAAGAAAUGCCUGUGUUUCCUGGCUAGGUUGCUGUGAGACCUGGGAGAAGUCUAUCAGGAGAAGUACAGACCCCAAAAGGGAAGCCGCAACUCCACCAGAUUCAACCAAGGAUCAGGAGUCCUAGGACAUGCUCCAGGGUCCCCCAGCUUCUCCAUUCCUUGCCCUCUGGUCUUCUCUUUACCUCCGCUGGUCUCAUCCACUGCUAUGUAUUUGGUUCUACCAAUUUCUUGACUUUAUUCCAGGUACUGUACUGUGUUGUGUGGAGGAGGGGGAAAUGACCAGAAACAUCCUUGAGAAACCUUCCAGACAAAAGAGAAGUUGGGAGAGGUGCUUUCUGGUGUUGUUGGAGUUCCAAAUAGAUUAGCUGGGAGCUCCAGAGAUCACCUGUCUUGUACCCCUCGAUCUUUUCAGGGCACAUAAGCAUGCGGGUGCACACACACACACACACACACACACACACACAUUUACUCUGGGGAUCCUUGUGGUCCUCAGCUUUGGCCUCACUGUGGGAUAAACUGGCUGCUGCCUCAGGCUUUGGACCUCUGCACCAUGGCUCCAGGCUGGGGCCCUGCCUGAGUUCUCCCUCUUUGUUCCAGGUGGCCAUGCUUUGGACCUUUUUUUCCACACUCAGAUUCUGAGCAUUGGGUCCAGCACCUUGGCAUGCAGGUGAACCCAAAGACUACUCUCCUCAGGCCUGGACCGUCAUCCCCCAAAAUACUUUCUCCGGGCCCGGCAGGCAGUACCCCUGACUAGGCUGUGGAGACAGAGGCACCACUUGCCUGCGCCAGCAAGGAGCCUUGAAGUCCCCAUGAAGUGAAGGGUGGAGGUCUUUGGGCCAGCAAGCUCCAGUAGAGGUAGGAGUCAGUCCUAGAGUUUCUGAAGCUGGAAACAAACACCCAGUUUGGGCAGACUGCAACCAGGAUCCUGAGGUAAGAGAGAGAGGCCACUUUUCUGUGUGAUCUUCUGUAGGACUGCAGGGUAGAGCCAGGCUUCAGCAUUCAGCCUCCAGUGCUCCAAACCAAGGCCACUGAAAGCCCGCCCAGAUCAUGGGGCGGGAAAUGGCCAUUUAUUGCAGUUGGCAUUAGCAAUGUUGGCUGGGGGUAUAAAAGUCAUUGACCAAGGGGACUACAGUCCUGGUGAGACCCCAGCAGUGUGUGGUAAGUAAAUGUAGGUAAAAUGUUCAGCACUGGGUCCUUAAGGUGUAACCGGUAGCUUUCACCUCUUUAGCCAGGACACUGGGCAAGUGUUCUAAGGGAGCCAGCUGGUGACCGGGCCUCUCAACCUCUUGUUCUGGGGGAAAAUUUUGGCAGAGCAGAUGAGAGAUGGCUCAAGGGCCAAGUCAGGUCCUGUGGCAUCCUCCACAAGCCACCUACCUCUUGGAAACUGCCCUUCGAAGGCCAGGAUUGCUCCAGGUCUCUGGCUGGUGGGCAGGUGGGAGAGAGCAAGGGAGGUGCCCACCUUUUUGAAGGAGGAAAAGCUAGCCAGUUCUGCUCCAAGCUCAGGGUCUGAGUCCAAGCUCGGGCCCCAGGGCGCUGCUGGGCCCUCCGUGAGUGGACAUUAACUAGCAGAGUAACUCAUUAAUUGCACUGGCCAGAGGAGGCUGGGCGCUCAGGGCUGGACUCAGACCCUGAGCUCUCAGGUCAUGGGCCUGCCGCUUACUUUGCUCAUGGCUUUGGGCCUCUCAGAAUCCGACCCUCUUUUGUUCCUAAGCCAUCCAGAGAGUGGGUAUUUGGUUAAGUAUCUGUGCCUGCAUCGGGGCUUCCUUCCUUCCUUGGUAGACUCAGGAAUCUCGACUCUGCAGGCAGCUGGACCAGCAGACACAUACAAUGGUUCCAUUCCCGGAAUUUUUACUAACUGAAGGAUUUUGGGCAACACCACAACCUCUCCGACCUCAUUUUGUCAUGUGCAGAAAUACAGCCAAUGCUGCCUGAGAAGCUGGAGAGGGUAGCAGUGACGCUGUCAGGGAAGGGGAUGAGUAAUCCAAAGUCUCUACUUUCUGAUUUUGAUGCUAUCCACACCACUGUGGUUUUGGAAACUCAGAACUCCAUGAACAGUGCAAAGUGUGAAUUUUACUGUGUGUAAUUACAUCUUAAUAAAACUGCCCCCUCCAAAAAAAAGAGAGACUUGUAUUCACAGAAUUAUUGUGUGACCUUGGUCAGGUUACUUAACCCCUCUGUGCCUCUGUUCUUCUUCCCUCGAAUGGGAAUAAGGACUAGUAUGUCGAUCCUUGGAAUUAUUUAAUGAGAAAAACUAAAGCGUUCAGACAAUGCCUGGCACAUAAUGAUCUUCAGUAAAAGCUCCUGUCCUGGAUGUGGCUGUUAUUGUCUACCCACACAAGGCAAGAUGCUGGUCUUCAAAGACUGAACAAUCAAGUUGUACAAAUGAGUUAACGCCGGUCUGACGCUGCUCCAAGCUCCAGCAGAGGCCCUGAAGUUCCUUUAGGAGGUGCCAGGGUGAGAGGAGCCUGGAGUCCUAGCUCACUGGAGCGACAAAGGGCAGAGAUUCCUGGGGAGCUCUGAGAACCGCUGCUCGCUGCUCGGAGUUUGUCUGGCCCUUACACUUCCGAGGAACAGCCGCCCGAGGGCCCGCUCCCUCUCCCAUUGCUCUGGAGUGGGCCCUGACUGGGGGUGCGUAGGAGUCCUCUGGGUUCAGGGCUGUAUGAUUCCAUUUUCUCCAGCCUUGGCUGUCGCCUCCGUGAAAAGGAAAUAUCAAUAUCUUAAUGGUUGUUGAAUAGGUGAGCUUGGCACACUGUUUGCGCUCAUCACAUUUUAGUUACAGCAUUUGCAACCCGAGCCUUGUGCGCUCUGGCCCAUGAGCACCGCGCCAUACCCAGGUCACCCGGGUUUGGAGUCUCCGGACCAGCCAAAGCUCUGAGUCUUCACUGUGCGUCAGCGGCGCCGCGCGGGAAGCGCCGCUGCCGGCUGCCGGCGAAGGGUGAGCCCUCUCCCGGGUCCAAGGCUGGCAAAAGGUGACCAGAGACGGGGAGGCAAGUUAGGAAGUUCGGUAAUUCACUGUGAUUCCCAGUCACUCCGCUUCUCCAAACUCUUCGGGCGGCUAUGGGAAAAGGAAAAGUAGAAUAAAUACCUUUAAAACAUUUUUUUAAAAUCUUAUUACGGCAAAUCCUUUUCUGGAGCACCACCCAGAGGCCUCGCCCGGCGGAC